GUGCCCGUAGCUCAGCUGGAUAGAGCGAGGGUCUCCGAAGCCCUAGGUCGGGGGUUCAAGUCCCCCCGGGCACG
Molecule: transfer RNA, 74 nt
Organism: Thermocrinis minervae
Lineage: Bacteria; Pseudomonadati; Aquificota; Aquificia; Aquificales; Aquificaceae
Rfam family: tRNA
About the family: Transfer RNA (tRNA) molecules are approximately 80 nucleotides in length. Their secondary structure includes four short double-helical elements and three loops (D, anti-codon, and T loops).
Source: Rfam